RNAcentral lists this ribosomal RNA (471 nucleotides) under uncultured bacterium. RNAcentral describes it as "bacterial SSU rRNA". It matches the Rfam family "Bacterial small subunit ribosomal RNA", at positions 28 to 507 of the family's 1533-position model. The record is from RNAcentral.
GACGAACGCUGGCGGCGUGCCUGACGCAUGCAAGUCGGACGGUCCGUGAUUGAUCAAGCUUGCUUGAUUGGUUGUGGAUAGUGGCGGACGGGUGAGUAACGCGUGAACACCUACCCAUUGGAGGGGUACAACCCGUCGAAAGGCGGGCUAAUACCGCGUAAGCCGUGAGGUGAAAGGCUGCUUUUUGGUGGCUGCCGAUGGAUGGGUUCGCGUCCUAUCAGCUGGUUGGUGGGGUAACGGCCUACCAAGGCUAAGACGGGUAGCCGGUCUGAGAGGAUGGCCGGCCACACUGGAACUGAGACACGGUCCAGACUCCUACGGGAGGCAGCAGUGGGGAAUAUUGGGCAAUGGGGGAGACCCUGACCCAGCGACGCCGCGUGAGGGGAAGAAGGUUUUCGGAUCGUAAACCUCUGUUGUACGGGAAGAAGGGAAUUGACGGUACCGUACGAGUAAGCCCCGGCAAACUACGUG